UUUAAUUAGGGCCUUCCCUUGGACGGUUCCUUUCCAGAAGAAGCCACGGCCAAAUUCGGUGCCCAGCCACCCGGGGUAAUAUGAGGGGGGCAAGCGUUUUUUGGGAAUUAUUGGGCGGAAAGGCGCCGGCCGGCCGGUCUUUUAGUUCAGAUGGGAAAGUCCCCGCGUUAAACGUGGGGGGUCCAUUUGAAACUGGCAAGCUAGAGUCUGGUAGAGGGAGGUGGGAAUUCCAGGGGUAGCGGUGAAAUGCGUAGAGAUCUGGAGGACUACCGGUGGGGAAGGCGGCCUCCUGUACAAAGACGGACGCUCGGCGGGGAAAGCGUGGGGAGCAACCAGGAUUGGAUACCCUGGUAGUCCCCCCUGUAAACGAUGUUGACAAGGAGGAUGGGGCCUCGAGGCGUGGCUUCCGGAGCUAACGCGUUAAGCAGUCCGCCUGGGGAGUACGGCCGCAAGGUUAAAACUCAAAUGAAUUGACGGGGGCCCGCACAAGCGGUGGAGCAUGUGGUUUAAUUCGAAGCAACGCGAAGAACCUUACCUACUCUUGACAUCCAGAGAAUUCGCUAGGGAUAUGCUUAGUUCCUUUGGGAACUAUGAGACACAGGCUGGCACGGCGGUGUUCACCUCGUGUUUUGAAAUAUUGGGGUAAGUCUCGCACCGAGCGCACCCCCUAUCCUUUUAGUCCCCCUCGUAAAGGUGGGCACUCAAAGGAGACUGCCGGUGACAAACCGGAGGAAGGUGGGGAUGACGUCAAGUCAUCAUGCCCCUUACGACUAGGGCUACACACGUGCUACAAUGGCGUAUACAAAGAGAAGCCAACUCGCGAGAGCAAGCGGACCUCAUAAAGUACGUCGCAGUCCGGAUUGGAGUCUGCAACUCGCCUCCAUGAAGUCGGAAUCGCUAGUAAUCGUGGAUCAGCAUGCGGCGGUGAAUACGUUCCCGGGCCUUGUACACACCGCCCGUCACACCAUGGGAGUGGGUUGCAAAAGAAGUAGGUAGCUUAACCUUCGGGACCGCCCUCCUCAUCGUUGAUUCAACGGGCG
RNAcentral lists this ribosomal RNA (1040 nucleotides) under Shewanella sp. H60. Its description in RNAcentral is "bacterial SSU rRNA". It matches the Rfam family "Bacterial small subunit ribosomal RNA", at positions 445 to 1477 of the family's 1533-position model. Lineage: Bacteria; Pseudomonadati; Pseudomonadota; Gammaproteobacteria; Alteromonadales; Shewanellaceae. The record is from RNAcentral.